UGGGGAAUUUUCCGCAAUGGGCGCAAGCCUGACGGAGCAAGACCGCGUGCGGGAGGACGGCCUAUUGGUUGUAAACCGCUUUUGAUAGGGAAGAAGCUCUGACGGUACCUAUCGCAUCAGCAUCGGCUAACUCCGAGCCAGCAGCCGCGGUAAUACGGAGGAUGCAAGCGUUAUCCGGAAUUAUUGGGCGUAACGCGUCCGUAGGAGGGUGUUCAAGUCUGCUGUAAACGCGUGUGGCUUAACUGCAUU
RNAcentral lists this ribosomal RNA (249 nucleotides) under uncultured Leptolyngbya sp. Its description in RNAcentral is "partial 16S ribosomal RNA". It matches the Rfam family "Bacterial small subunit ribosomal RNA", at positions 355 to 619 of the family's 1533-position model. The record is from RNAcentral. Lineage: Bacteria; Bacillati; Cyanobacteriota; Cyanophyceae; Leptolyngbyales; Leptolyngbyaceae.